CCUACGGGAGGCAGCAGUGAGGAAUAUUGGUCAAUGGACGGAAGUCUGAACCAGCCAUGCCGCGUGCAGGAAGACGGCUCUCUGAGUUGUAAACUGCUUUUGUACAAGGGUAAACCUGAAUACGUGUAUUCAGCUGAGAGUCCUCUACGAAUAAGCAUCGGCUAACUCCGUGCCAGCAGCCGCGGUAAUACGGAGGAUCCAAGCGUUAUCCGGAUUUAUUGGGUUUAAAGGGUGCGUAGGCGGGUUGAUAAGUUAGAGGUGAACUGUCCGAGCUUAACUCGGGAACUGCCUCUAAUACUGUUGAUCUAGAGUGUAGAUGAGGUAGGCGGAAUGUAUGGUGUAGCGGUGAAAUGCUUAGAGAUCAGGAAGAACACCGAUUGCGAAGGCAGCUUACCAAUCUAUAACUGACGUUGAGGCACGAAAGCGUGGGGAGCAAACAGGAUUAGAUACCCCUGUAGUC
RNAcentral lists this ribosomal RNA (460 nucleotides) under uncultured bacterium. RNAcentral's name for it is "partial 16S ribosomal RNA". It matches the Rfam family "Bacterial small subunit ribosomal RNA", at positions 338 to 795 of the family's 1533-position model. The record is from RNAcentral.